UGGGGAAUAUUGGACAAUGGGGGGAACCCUGAUCCAGCCAUGCCGCGUGUGUGAAGAAGGCCUUUUGGUUGUAAAGCACUUUAAGUGGGGAGGAGGCUUACCUGGUUAAUACCUGGGCUAAGUGGACGUUACCCACAGAAUAAGCACCGGCUAACUCUGUGCCAGCAGCCGCGGUAAUACAGAGGGUGCGAGCGUUAAUCGGAUUUACUGGGCGUAAAGCGCGCGUAGGUGGUUAAUUAAGUCAAAUGUGAAAUCCCCGAGCUUAACUUGGGAAUUGCAUUCGAUACUGGUUAGCUAGAGUAUGGGAGAGGAUGGUAGAAUUCCAGGUGUAGCGGUGAAAUGCGUAGAGAUCUGGAGGAAUACCGAUGGCGAAGGCAGCCAUCUGGCCUAAUACUGACACUGAGGUGCGAAAGCAUGGGGAGCAA
This 425-nucleotide ribosomal RNA is filed under the name uncultured bacterium. Its description in RNAcentral is "bacterial SSU rRNA". It matches the Rfam family "Bacterial small subunit ribosomal RNA", at positions 355 to 771 of the family's 1533-position model. The record is from RNAcentral.